Molecule: non-coding RNA, 3901 nt
Organism: Benincasa hispida (wax gourd)
Lineage: Eukaryota; Viridiplantae; Streptophyta; Magnoliopsida; Cucurbitales; Cucurbitaceae
Source: RefSeq, a predicted model, not a curated record
GCUCCCGUGAUUCUCCUCCAGCGACUUUGACAAACUCCGUACGAACUUCCCCAUAAUUUCUCCAGGCGCUCGCCGGCCGCCUCUCUCCGACCACCACUCAUCCGCUUCCGCCCGACGGAAAAUCUGAUUGGAAAGGGGAAAUUGGCAUGAUUAUCAUACCAAGAUUCGCACACACCAGUUCUAAAUCGAAUUGAAUUUUCCAGUUUUAUUCUCUAUCAGAUUCUUUCUUAGAGCCUCAGAGUAGUUUAAAGGCCCCUCUUGAUACUACAGACUUUGAAAGAAGAAGUUUUGAAAGAGAUUGAUGGCUGAAUCUAGUUCUCUCUUGUGCCAAAACCAUUGGGGUUUGCCUCAAAUAAUAGACGAUCCCUAACUCCAGUUUGAAAAUAUUACUUUACCACUUGGCGAGCGAAAAUCAUAAUCUGGGACCUUGGUUAUCUAUCUGUUUAGUAAUGGGAUGGAUAUAACUAGCUAGGUUUUGUUUUCAGUGUUAUCCUGAUUUGUUUAAUUUUGUCUUUCUUCUUCAGAGAAAGUAGAUUUUGUUUUGUUAUUUGAUUUUGUUAUUUUGUUAUUUUCUAAGUAAUUCUUAGAAGUUGUAUCAUUGGAUUGGCUUUUAGCAAGGUGAAGUGGCUCAGGUUGAUUGCAUAUUUAGCUUGUUAUGGACCCCUCGAUUAUGAAGCUUCUGGAGGAUGACGAGGAUGAAACAAUGCAUUCAGGUGCUGCCGUGGAGGCUUUUCAGGCUGCCUUGAACAGAGACAUAGAAGGUGAUGUUCACGCUGUUUCCCAGACUUCCGAAUCAGAUGCAGCUUUCCCUCGAGGGAACAACAAUGGCUCAUCUUCCCUCUCAUUACAAGCUUCUAGUCAAAAUGAAAAUACUGAAUCUCAUGUGCAACAAGAGCAAAAUUUUCGUCCGAAGCAAGAACAACAUUCAUCUCUGAUGGAACUAGAGCGUUCAGUACCUGAAAAUCAGCAGCAACAUAGUUCUGCCCCGCUUCAAGUUCCAAAGAAUCAACCUGCAGCAGAUCGUGAACAAGGGGAGGCAGAGCAAGUUUCUGCUCAGUUUUCUCAAACAGCAGGGCUGCAAGUUUCUGAAAAAGCUCCAAUCCUUGUGAAUGACUCAAACAGAAUGCAGAAUCGAGACAAUGAAUCUCAAUACUUGAAGUUACAGAAGAUGAGUAAUCAGCAGUCAAUGGUCGCAGAACAGGCAAAUAACCCACAAAACCGUAGCAAACAGGUGCCUUUUGCCUCGUUGAUGCCUGUAUUGAUGCCUCAGCUUGAUAAAGACAGAGCCAUGCAGCUUCAUACUUUAUUUAACAGAUUGAAGAAAAAUGAAAUGAACAAAGAUGAUUUUAUCCGGCUCAUGAGGGGUGUUGUGGGCGAUCAGAUGCUCAGAUUAGCAGUAUGUCAAGUACAAUCACAGCCUCCACCUUCGGUAAGGCAACUUUCUCCUAGAAUGCCAUCUAUGGGUCCUGGUGCACCAAAUUUCUCUGAUCCACGACCAUUUGCACAACUUCAUCAGAAAGGCAUGAAUUCUCCUGCAGUUCAAUCAUACAUGCCCUCUUCAGCGUCCCAAGGGCGGAGUAGUUCAGGCUAUCCUGCCAUGGACAAGAAUAUGCAAUCUUUACGAGAAGUAGAACAGCGACCUGAUAAUAAUGGAAAUCAAUUGACUUCAUCCAGUACAGGCACCAUCCAAGAAAGGGAACGCUCCUCAGUUCCUGUUCCAGGACUUGAGAAGCAGCAGCUACACUUUCAACAGAAAUCUUUUCCCAUGUAUGGAAACAGUAGUAGUUAUCACCCGUAUACUGGGUCAAACAUAAAUGCCUCUUCAUUGUCUCUUAAACCCCAACCCCAUGAGGGUCAAGUGAAGCAGAUUUCCCAGCAGGCUCCCACUUUUGACAGGCAAGUUACUAUAAAUGAUUCCAAGCGAGUCCAGGGUGGAAAUGUUCCACACUUGCAUAGUAACGUAACUGCACAACAAAAUCCCUGGAAAUCCUCAACAAGUAAAGAGCAAAACACAGGCCCUUUAUCAUCAAUGAGUUACAUUGCACAGGAACCUUCUGAUCAGGUUUCUGAGCAGAACAAAACCCAACAUUCAAAUCUGCAGAGCUUGUCUUCUAUUCCUAGCAUGCAGGCUGAACAUGUUAACACAACCCCUGGAAUAGCAAAGGACCCUUUUGACAAACAAACUUCUAAAAUGGGUUUUCCUACAUCAAACAAUGUUAUGCCUCCAACAUCAACCAACGCAGCAAAUUCAAUUUCAUCUGAUUCAAGUUCUCUACACGAGUCUAAUGCUAUGUUAAGCUCUCAGGUUCCUUCUGCAAAUACUCCUGGAAUGCAAAAUAGGGCACCUCCAAAAAAAGCAGCCGUGGGCCAGAAGAAGCCUCUUGAAGCACUUGGCUCUUCACCACCCCUAUCAAGUAAGAAGCAAAAAGUAUCUGGGGCAUUUUCGGAUCAAAGCAUUGAACAACUUAACGAUGUCACUGCAGUCAGUGGAGUUAAUAUUCGGGAAGAAGAAGAACAACUAUUUUCUAGUGCAAAGGAGGAUAGUCGAGCUUCUGAAGCAUCACGGAGGGUUGUGCAAGAAGAAGAAGAGAGGCUGCUAUUGCAGAAAGCCCCAUUGCAGAAAAAGCUGGUGGAAAUCAUGGCUAAAUGUGGUUUGAAGGGCAUGAGCAAUGACGUUGAGAAAUGUCUCUCAUUGUGUGUGGAGGAAAGAUUACGUGGGAUUAUUAGUAAUCUAAUCAGGCUGUCAAAGCAGCGAGUGGACACGGAGAAAACAAAGCACCGAAUGGUUAUUACUUCAGAUGUUCGACAACAAAUUAUGUUAUUUAACCAAAAGGCCAGAGAAGAAUGGGAGAAGAAGCAGGCUGAAGAAGAAAAACUCCGAAAGCUUAAUGAUCCCGAGGAUGGUUCAGGUGUUGCCGGUGACAAGGAGAAAGAUGAAGGUCGAAUGAAAUCAGUUAAUAAGGUAAACAAAGAGGAGGACGAUAAAAUGCGGACAACAGCAGCAAAUGUUGCUGCCCGUGCUGCUGUUGGAGGAGACGACGUGCUAUCAAAAUGGCAACUGAUGGCUGAACAAGCUCGACAGAAACGUGAAGGUGGAAUGGAUUCAGCUUCUGGUUCUCAGUCAGGGAAAGAUGCUGUCCGUAAGUCUUCUUCAGCAGCUCGACAUGGGAAGGACAACCUAGAAGGUGAAAGAAAAGGAAAUUCCAAGAAAUUUGGAAAAAAUCAAACGAAUGCAACUCAAACUAGGGUGGUUCGUAGUAUUUCUGUUAAAGAUGUCAUUGCUGUGCUGCAAAGGGAACCCCAGAUGUCGAGAUCCACCACAAUCUAUCGUUUGUUUAACAGAGUUCAUCCCGAAGCCACUGGUGAAUAGAAUCGACUAUAACAAUGAUAAACUAAUAUCCCUGCAGACGCACACUCGGUGGGUUGUCUUUCCGAACUGAAGGUGAAUAGUCUUUGGGAAACCGAGCUGAUGAGAAAACCAAACUGAAUUGCUACACGACAUACCAUAACCGAACUGCUGUGAAUUGAGUAAUUGACGAUUCAGUCUGUUUGAUUUGGUAAUUCAUCAUUUGCUUUAACAUAGACACAUCUAGACACAUUGGGGAGCCUAAGAUGAACAUGGAUAUCUCAAUUAAAAAGAGCUUGCUCCAAUCAUGAGACCUCAAGAUUAGAAGCCACUUUCAAAGCCAUUUGGAUGGCUCUUGCUUGCUAGUUCAUAGAUAUUUCAGUUUUUAAUACUAAUGAUAACUGUCAGCCUAGAGUAUAUUCGGUCUGCCAAACCCGAAUCUGAUUGAAUAUAAUUGGUUUUCCUUGUAUGAAAAUUGGAACUGGCGACCGAACCAGUUUCAAACUGAAACGGCGUUGGUUUAAGUGGUUAUUUUGGGGUUUUGAUUCUCUUGCA